Molecule: long non-coding RNA, 945 nt
Organism: Mauremys reevesii (Reeves's turtle)
Lineage: Eukaryota; Metazoa; Chordata; Testudines; Geoemydidae
Exons: 3
Source: RefSeq, a predicted model, not a curated record
GUGACUUGAAGGGGCACAAAACACUUCCAAAGAAACCCACACACAGGAAAGCAGAGCAAAGCCAGCACUUCUCUCCAGCAAGCUGCUCUUGUGUACCUAUUCCUUGCCUUCUUGCUGUGUACUCACACACAGCAGCCAUCCCCCAGGAGAAUGGGAGCUGCACCUUGAAAUGGAGACUGAUGCUUUUUCUUGCACUGAGAGAAAAGCUUUACAGACUACAAAGCAUAAGACUUUAUGCAAUGAGACUGCAAAAGCUACUAUAAUUCAGAGAGCGGCAAUUCCCAGCCAAGCUAUUUAUAGAGAAAUAGAGGCAUUUUGGACUCCAGGAGAUUCCUUAUGAAAUACAGAAAAGAAUACAGAGUUCUUUAAUCCUGGAUGAAAGAGUGAAGUCAAUGGAAGGGCCCACAGCGCCACCCCCAGGAAAUAGAAUCCGAGGGAGCUGAAGGCAGUGUCCUGCCAGAGAACCUGCUUUCCUGAGACCCAAAUGGCUCUGAGAUCAGAAUUAAGAACAAGCAAGAUCAACUUCAUGUAAUCAGAACAGACUGCAAAGGAAAGGGGUCUGUUCUUAUGCAAGUUGAAUACUGACCCCUGACUUCAGUUGUCUUUGACAAUAAUUAUUUUGUAACUCACAUUUUUUUAAAACACUAGAUUAUUCUGGUCUGUUGAGAAGUACUACACAUGACUGUGCAACUGUAUUAAAGAAACAAAGGGGCACUUGGUCCUGGGGGGAAACCUCUUAGGGAAUAUGGGAAAGGACUGGGGUAGGAGAGCCUAAAGAGGGUAUGCUGUGUUAUUUUAGUACACACAAGUUCUUUGGAGAUUUGUUUAGUUCUGUGCUAAGUACAGGAGUAAGUCAAGGGAAAUGUAUAUUAUCUUGCUGUUUGAUGUAGUUUUAUAAAUAUAGUUUAGUAACGUAAGAGCUGGCAUACUGGACCAGAUGAAUAG